RNAcentral lists this unclassified non-coding RNA (323 nucleotides) under soil metagenome. Its description in RNAcentral is "partial contains 5.8S ribosomal RNA, internal transcribed spacer 2, and large subunit ribosomal RNA". The stretch from base 1 to 120 matches the Rfam family "5.8S ribosomal RNA", at positions 35 to 154 of the family's 154-position model. The record is from RNAcentral.
GAUGAAGAACGCAGCGAAAUGCGAUAGGUAAUGUGAAUUGCAGAAUUCAGUGAGUCAUCGAAUCUUUGAACGCACAUUGCGCCCUGUGGUAUUCCGCAGGGCAUGCCUGUUCGAGCGUCAUUUCAACCCUCAAGCUCUGCUUGGUGUUGGGCCCUGCCCGCUGCGGCCGGCCCUAAAGACAGUGGCGGUGCCGCCUGGCCCUGAGCGUAGUACAUCUCUCGCUCCAGUGCCCGGUGGUAGCCUGCCAGAACCCCAACUCUCGUGGUUGACCUCGGAUCAGGUAGGGAUACCCGCUGAACUUAAGCAUAUCAAUAAGCGGAGGA